This 253-nucleotide ribosomal RNA is filed under the name uncultured bacterium. RNAcentral's name for it is "partial 16S ribosomal RNA". It matches the Rfam family "Bacterial small subunit ribosomal RNA", at positions 524 to 776 of the family's 1533-position model. The record is from RNAcentral.
UACAGAGGUCUCAAGCGUUGUUCGGAUUCAUUGGGCGUAACGGGUGCGUAGGUGGCGCGCUAAGUCAGGUGUGAAAUUUCGGAGCUUAACUCCGAAACUGCAUUUGAUACUGGCGUGCUUGAGGACUGGAGAGGAGACUGGAAUUCAUGGUGUAGCAGUGAAAUGCGUAGAGAUCAUGAGGAAGACCAGUGGCGAAGGCGGGUCUCUGGACAGUUCCUGACACUGAGGCACGAAGGCCAGGGGAGCAAACGGG